RNAcentral lists this ribosomal RNA (484 nucleotides) under uncultured bacterium. Its description in RNAcentral is "partial 16S ribosomal RNA". It matches the Rfam family "Bacterial small subunit ribosomal RNA", at positions 30 to 507 of the family's 1533-position model. The record is from RNAcentral.
AUUGAACGCUGGCGGCGGGCCUAACACAUGCAAGUCGAGCGGAUGAAGGGAGCUUGCUCCUGGAUUCAGCGGCGGACGGGUGAGUAAUGCCUAGGAAUCUGCCUGGUAGUGGGGGAUAACGUCCGGAAACGGGCGCUAAUACCGCAUACGUCCUGAGGGAGAAAGUGGGGGAUCUUUGGACCUCACGCUAUCAGAUGAGCCUAGGUCGGAUUAGCUAGUUGGUGGGGUAAAGGCCUACCAAGGCGACGAUCCGUAACUGGUCUGAGAGGAUGAUCAGUCACACUGGAACUGAGACACGGUCCAGACUCCUACGGGAGGCAGCAGUGGGGAAUAUUGGACAAUGGGCGAAAGCCUGAUCCAGCCAUGCCGCGUGUGUGAAGAAGGUCUUCGGAUUGUAAAGCACUUUAAGUUGGGAGGAAGGGCAGUAAGUUAAUACCUUGCUGUUUUGACGUUACCAACAGAAUAAGCACCGGCUAACUUCGUG